CAUUUGUGGUAUCUCCGUUCCUCUACCCCUGCUGCUGAUUCAAGGGGCUGCCUGCCUAAUGAGAAGAAGGCGGUGCGACGAAACACAGGGCUCGUGGCAGAGGCGCCAGUCACCUUCAGAGACGCUGGGACUUAGACGCCAGAAGUUAUGAAGUCGGCAUGGACUGCGGAUCAGAUCUUUGCAGCACAAAUUCUCCAAAGGCAACAUCUGGGUCCGGUCACCGAAGACAGAUGGGCUCCCUCUACUUCGUCCCCCAUCCCCGCGGGACCUCUGCCGGAGGCGCGGCAUGCUAUUUGAAUGCAAUGAUAUGCUGACUAAAUUGUUCCUGCACGGUGCGCGCCGAGUGCAUUCCUACUGUUAGAACCUAUUCUGUAUCUGUACCGGCCUCCUCCUUACGGAUGGCUUUCUCUAUCUCAAAACGUUCCUGGGAUUUCCAGAUGCUGCCAUUGAACAAAUUCUCAUUAUUUUGCUUCUGUUCCUUUAUACAGCCAAAUGGUCCUCCUCUGACAUUGCAGGGGGCCAAUUU
Molecule: long non-coding RNA, 526 nt
Organism: Prionailurus viverrinus (fishing cat)
Lineage: Eukaryota; Metazoa; Chordata; Mammalia; Carnivora; Felidae
Exons: 3
Source: RefSeq, a predicted model, not a curated record